CCUACGGGCGGCAGCAGUGGGGAAUAUUGCACAAUGGGGGAAACCCUGAUGCAGCGACGCCGCGUGAGUGAAGAAGUAAUUCGUUAUGUAAAGCUCUAUCAGCAGGGAAGAAAAUGACGGUACCUGAGUAAGCAGCCCCGGCUAACUACGUGCCAGCAGCCGCGGUAAUACGUAGGGGGCAAGCGUUAUCCGGAUUUACUGGGGGGAAAGGGAGCGUAGACGGCAGUGCAAGUCUGGAGUGAAAGGCGGGGGCUCAACCCCCGGACUGCUCUGGAAACUGGACGGCUGGAGUGCAGGAGAGGUAAGUGGAAUUCCUAGUGUAGCGGUGAAAUGCGUAGAUAUUAGGAGGAACACCAGUGGCGAAGGCGGCUUACUGGACUGUAACUGACGUUGAGGCUCGAAAGCGUGGGGAGCAAACAGGAUUAGAUACCCGGGUAGUC
Molecule: ribosomal RNA, 440 nt
Filed under: uncultured bacterium
Lineage: Bacteria
Description: partial 16S ribosomal RNA
Rfam family: Bacterial small subunit ribosomal RNA
Source: RNAcentral